UACGGGAGGCAGCAGUGGGGAAUAUUGGGCAAUGGGCGAAAGCCUGACCCAGCAACGCCGCGUGAAGGAUGAAGGUCUUCGGAUUGUAAACUUCUUUGAUCAGGGACGAAAUUUUGACGGUACCUGAAGAACAAGUCACGGCUAACUACGUGCCAGCAGCCGCGGUAAU
RNAcentral lists this ribosomal RNA (169 nucleotides) under uncultured rumen bacterium. Its description in RNAcentral is "partial 16S ribosomal RNA". It matches the Rfam family "Bacterial small subunit ribosomal RNA", at positions 340 to 524 of the family's 1533-position model. The record is from RNAcentral.